ACUCCUACGGGAGGCAGCAGUGGGGAAUAUUGCACAAUGGGCGCAAGCCUGAUGCAGCCAUGCCGCGUGUAUGAAGAAGGCCUUCGGGUUGUAAAGUACUUUCAGCAGUGAGGAAGGUGGGUAUGUUAAUAGCAUAUUCAUUUGACGUUAGCUGCAGAAGAAGCACCGGCUAACUCCGUGCCAGCAGCCGCGGUAAUACGGAGGGUGCGAGCGUUAAUCGGAAUUACUGGGCGUAAAGCGCAUGCAGGUGGUUUGUUAAGUCAGAUGUGAAAGCCCGGGGCUCAACCUCGGAAUUGCAUUUGAAACUGGGCAAACUAGAGUACUGUAGAGGGGGGGUAGAAUUUCAGGUGUAGCGGUGAAAUGCGUAGAGAUCUGAAGGAUACCGGUGGCGAAGGCGGCCCCCUGGACAGAUACUGACACUCAGAUGCGAAAGCGUGGGGAGCAAACAGGAUUAGAACCCUGGUAGGCUCUGC
This 473-nucleotide ribosomal RNA is filed under the name uncultured bacterium. Its description in RNAcentral is "bacterial SSU rRNA". It matches the Rfam family "Bacterial small subunit ribosomal RNA", at positions 335 to 800 of the family's 1533-position model. The record is from RNAcentral.